GGGGAACUGAAACAUCUAAGUACCCCGAGGAAAAGAAAUCAACCGAGAUUCCCCCAGUAGCGGCGAGCGAACGGGGAGGAGCCCAGAGCCUGAAUCAGCAUGUGUGUUAGUGGAAGCGUCUGGAAAGGCGCGCGAUACAGGGUGACAGCCCCGUACACAAAAGCGCAUGUGCUGUGAGCUCGAUGAGUAGGGCGGGACACGUGGUAUCCUGUCUGAAUAUGGGGGGACCAUCCUCCAAGGCUAAAUACUCCUGACUGACCGAUAGUGAACCAGUACCGUGAGGGAAAGGCGAAAAGAACCCCGGCGAGGGGAGUGAAAAAGAACCUGAAACCGUGUACGUACAAGCAGUGGGAGCCCCACCACUAAGCCAGUGGUGAACUCCACAUACGCAUCCUUUGCUGAAGGCAAUGGUUAACGGAGCGAAAGCGACGUUCAACCGCAAAACAAGCAGAGGGGGCUUAGUGGUGGGGUGACUGCGUACCUUUUGUAUAAUGGGUCAGCGACUUAUAUUCUGUAGCAAGGUUAACCGUAUAGGGGAGCCGGAGGGAAACCGAGUCUUAAUUGGGCGUUAAGUUGCAGGGUAUAGACCCGAAACCCGGUGAUCUAGCCAUGGGCAGGUUGAAGGUUGGGUAACACUAACUGGAGGACCGAACCGACUAAUGUUGAAAAAUUAGCGGAUGACCUGUGGCUGGGGGUGAAAGGCCAAUCAAACCGGGAGAUAGCUGGUUCUCCCCGAAAGCUAUUUAGGUAGCGCCUCGUGAAUUCAUCUCCGGGGGUAGAGCACUGUUUCGGCUAGGGGGCCAUCCCGGCUUACCAACCCGAUGCAAACUGCGAAUACCGGAGAAUGUUAUCACGGGAGACACACGGCGGGUGCUAACGUCCGUCGUGAAGAGGGAAACAACCCAGACCGCCAGCUAAGGUCCCAAAGUCAUGGUUAAGUGGGAAACGAUGUGGGAAGGCCCAGACAGCCAGGAUGUUGGCUUAGAAGCAGCCAUCAUUUAAAGAAAGCGUAAUAGCUCACUGGUCGAGUCGGCCUGCGCGGAAGAUGUAACGGGGCUAAACCAUGCACCGAAGCUGCGGCAGCGACGCUUAUGCGUUGUUGGGUAGGGGAGCGUUCUGUAAGCCUGUGAAGGUGGCCUGUGAGGGUUGCUGGAGGUAUCAGAAGUGCGAAUGCUGACAUAAGUAACGAUAAAGCGGGUGAAAAGCCCGCUCGCCGGAAGACCAAGGGUUCCUGUCCAACGUUAAUCGGGGCAGGGUGAGUCGACCCCUAAGGCGAGGCCGAAAGGCGUAGUCGAUGGGAAACAGGUUAAUAUUCCUGUACUUGGUGUUACUGCGAAGGGGGGACGGAGAAGGCUAUGUUGGCCGGGCGACGGUUGUCCCGGUUUAAGCGUGUAGGUGUGUGUUCCAGGUAAAUCCGGUUCACUUUAACACUGAGGCGUGAUGA
This 1444-nucleotide ribosomal RNA is filed under the name Salmonella enterica subsp. enterica serovar Thompson. RNAcentral describes it as "bacterial LSU rRNA". It matches the Rfam family "Bacterial large subunit ribosomal RNA", at positions 187 to 1569 of the family's 2925-position model. The record is from RNAcentral. Lineage: Bacteria; Pseudomonadati; Pseudomonadota; Gammaproteobacteria; Enterobacterales; Enterobacteriaceae.